AAGUCGUAACAAGGUUUCCGUAGGUGAACCUGCGGAAGGAUCAUUAAAACAAUACGCCACUGGUGAAAGUGAGGUAAAACCACCGAAUCCAGUGCUGUAUACAACCACCUGUUUACCUUUACCUGUUGCUUCCGUGGAAUUACGGGUGCUCUUCCUGUUCGCAGGCUUGAGUUACCUUCCACGGGUGUAUUUUAAAAACUCGUUUUGUAUUAUUUGUCUGAUUUAAAAUUUUAAUAAAAGUUAAAACUUUCAACAACGGAUCUCUAGGUUCUC
RNAcentral lists this unclassified non-coding RNA (273 nucleotides) under fungal sp. Its description in RNAcentral is "partial internal transcribed spacer region". The stretch from base 1 to 46 matches the Rfam family "Eukaryotic small subunit ribosomal RNA", at positions 1786 to 1831 of the family's 1831-position model. Lineage: Eukaryota; Fungi. RNAcentral also lists the same sequence under 1 other name. The record is from RNAcentral.